Long non-coding RNA from Salvelinus fontinalis (brook trout), 2284 nucleotides. RefSeq lists it as uncharacterized. NCBI's taxonomy places the organism in Eukaryota, Metazoa, Chordata, Actinopteri, Salmoniformes, Salmonidae. The transcript has 4 exons. The record is from RefSeq and is a predicted model, not a curated record.
CUCUCCAUGCUAGUAAGCUACUACCAUGAUGACACGAGGAAGGUGAUAGUGGAGCACUUGGGGUCCCUGGAGGUCAUCAAGGUGAAUGCCGUCAGCUUGGAGAGGGCGCUCUGCCACUUCUUCAACCAUAACAUCCCAUGGAAUAUUCUGGUGAGCAAGACCGGCAUCGAGACAAGGAUCCGUCAGAUGCAAUGUCCAAACCUGCUCGACAUUGAUGGAGACUCCUGUCAUCACAUCCACAAUGCGGCAAAGAAGUUUGCAGAGCCCUUGAGCAGCUCUUCAAUGAUCUGCACACUGAUCAUCAGUGGUCUCCAGAUCAAGUAAAAACAAGUAUAUUUGAAUGUUUGGUAUUUACUUAUCACUCAAUGUAUGAAAUUAAUUAAAUCUUUAUUAAUUUGAUUCAUUAAUUCAUCUGAAUACUGAAUUUAUUCCAAAUCUAUCUUGUUUCUGUGCAAUCCUACCUUAAAUGAUGAAGAACAAUAAAGGGGCAGUAUAUGGAAAUAAAUAAUUUUAUAGUCUCUUUUUGUCAGAUGAUGUACCUCAAGGAGAUAUGCCGGUACCUGAACAUCCCUGCCUCAGAGGUUUGUGUCUACAUAUGUCACCAUUUGACACACAGAAUGCUGCCGGCGUACUACGGGUUCCUGAGCAACGAAGACCAGGAGCUGUACAAGGACCCACUGGAACACAUUUACAAAGAACACCACGUGAGCGAGACGGCACAAGCGCGGAUCAAGUCUUUGCACGAGGACCUCAACAGAAAAGGCAUGAAAGUAAAAGUAAAAGUUUUAAAAAGAAGUAAAAGACAGAAGCAAGAGGGUGACCAGGAAGGUGUGGCAUGAGGGCACUACAAGUGACCUACAACUCAGCAUUUACGUGGGUGUACUGGCUAUCCCGAAGGAGUACGUAAUGGUUUUUCAGGGUAGCCAGAUGUUGGUACAUAAGCUCCACGACAAACAGCUGUCAGCUUUUUUCUUGCUUCGUCAAAGCUGAAUACAUAACUAAAGUGUCACCCAAGACUAUGGGAGUGAUGGCACUUCAGGAGAAGAUGCUGCUGUCUGCCAGGGAGAUGUGUGUGGUGUGGGAAGCAGAUGGAAUCAGAACCAGGAAUCCUAAUCAUGCUCUGCUGAAGUCCUUCAUGGAACAGGUCACCAAAGCCUACACCACCUCUGCACUUCACAUGCAGAAUAAGUUGCCCUUGUAAAGUCACACACUGAGGUCACUGUCUGCUCUGGACACGAUUUUGAGAGGCCACUCGCAGGCAGCGAUCCAGUUGAAGAAGCUGAGCGCAAUGUUGGGCCACCUCUCACCAGCCAGCAGUGAUCUCCACCACGAGAUCAUGUGAUACAACAUCGAUCCAUGCCUGGCCAGCUUCACAGAGGGAGAUGGCAUGGUGGAGUGGUGGGCUCAUGUCUUGGCCCAGACACUGAAGUAUCCAGCCCUGGGUAAUGUGGUGAAAGGUGCCUUCUCCGUCUUUCAUGGUACCAGGGUUGAGUCUUUGUUUAGCUGGAUGAACGACAUCAUUGAUACACGAAGCCCCAACAUGAACAUCUCAACGUUCAAUGCAAUACAGACUGUGAAUUACACUGUAGUGGAGAUGUUUAAACGGGAGGAUGCAAGGUGGACCAAAGGCUCUGCAGAAACUUCAGGUCAGCAGGAACAGUAGACAAGACACAGUGGCAGCAGAGUCUGCUGGAAGACCGAAGACGACAUCUCGAGUAUGGCUGUCAGCCAUCUGGAAGUGCUCAGGAGAGCAAGAGGGCGGCAGCUGAAAGGAGAAGCGGGCGAGGCUCAAGCAUGCUGCAAAACAGCGCAAGUGGGCACUUGAAAUACUUGUCCAGGCUAAGAAAAAGAAGUAGGGGAAAACCCUCUACCCAGCCAUCGCCUUCCCUCCAGUACUCUCCCUUUGUCAAAUAAAUCCCAGAUUGUUAGGACGCAUCUGAGGCCUGUUUUCUGCCACCAUUUACCUUAAUUUUAUGGACUAUGUUUUUAUGUUUGCAAUUCAUAUAUUAUUAAAAGAAAGUGUUGUGAAAACGUAUGUGGGUAUAGGAAAGGAGAGUUCUAUUUGUGUUUCGUUUAACUUCCCCUCUGAAAUGUAUUACCUAUGAAUGUUCUGUUCUGUUGGGCAGUACAGUAUCAUAGGGACUGUUCCUGAAAGCUGGAUCAAUGAGUUAGCUAGCUAACUUUCCAGAAUAUCUGGAAAUAACUCCAUCCUUUGAGAAAUAUUGACCUAAAAUGUAUGUGGCAUUAUAUUGACUCGACUACAUAAACCAGUAUAAAAUAUGAA